AUUUUCCGCCGGGGGAGCUCUUCAGUAAGCUGAGAGUGCAGCUUUUAAAAGGCUGCAGACCCCUAGGACCUGAACUGGGUAAUACCAGCGUAGGCAGGGCGGUAGUUGAAAAUA
RNAcentral lists this non-coding RNA (114 nucleotides) under Clostridia bacterium. Its description in RNAcentral is "TPP sequence". It matches the Rfam family "TPP riboswitch aptamer (THI element)". Rfam says of the family: Vitamin B(1) in its active form thiamin pyrophosphate (TPP) is an essential coenzyme that is synthesised by coupling of pyrimidine and thiazole moieties in bacteria. The previously detected thiamin-regulatory element, thi box was extended, resulting in a new, highly conserved RNA secondary structure, the THI element, which is widely distributed in eubacteria and also occurs in some archaea. Lineage: Bacteria; Bacillati; Bacillota; Clostridia. The record is from RNAcentral.